Molecule: long non-coding RNA, 1273 nt
Organism: Onychostruthus taczanowskii (white-rumped snowfinch)
Lineage: Eukaryota; Metazoa; Chordata; Aves; Passeriformes; Passeridae
Exons: 2
Source: RefSeq, a predicted model, not a curated record
AAAGAUUUUUUUUUUUACUUAACACACAUAUCAUGCCCUGUUUCAGGGCAACUUCAUGCAUGAAUAUAAAGUUCUGCUGCAAAUCUAAUUACUGUCUUUCAAAAGCUUUUCUUUUGUUAUUUCCUCUCUCAUCACUUUGCUUGAGAAUGCUGCUUCUAAUGUAUGAUAUAUAUGGCUUUACCCAGGCUUUAAGGUCGCAGCAGGUGCCUGAUAAAAAGAAGCAGAAGUUUUGCUUGCCUAGAACAUGUUAGCUGGGAUGUGAACUUUUGCAAUAAUGGCUUUAUGUCACCCAACUGCUGGCACUGUCGCUCCUUUGCCAAAUUUUUCUGUGCUUCUUACUGGCCUAAGCUCUUGGCAGCCUCUGCAGUCAUUACGGAGAGACCCCUCAUGGGUCACGUUGGAGCGCAGUACUGGUUCUCUUGAUUCUGAGCUUGGAAUAGAGAGCAGCUUUUCAACAACCAAAGCCUUAAGAUUACAUUAAAAUUCUGUUUGCUGAUCCCAGUGUUUCUUUUUGCUACAAAUAAUCAGCAGUCAAGCAUGUGGCUUCAUCAAGGAACUACACCUGGAAAAAGAAACAACAUAUCUAUGCUGAUAGGUUUCAUUAGUCUUAGGAUGGAAGAUUGCAGCAGUUUGGUUGGAUUGUUGUAACUGCAGAUGUGAUGUGCCUUGGUGUUUUCACACUCAUCAGUCCAUCCUGUUUGUUAGUAGGCAGGACAGUUCUGAAUGAAGUAAAUCAUCAAGUGAAGCAGGUACAUGCCCACUUCAAUUCUAACAGUUAAAUUAUUUCAGUAUCCUAUUUCAGUCAGGUGUAUGUAGACCAUGUAAAAUAUGGAAAUACAAAUAGGGCUGGAGAUUUUCUUUUUUAAUCUGGCCGUUUCAAUCUUUCUUAAAUAACUUCAAAAUCUGAAGCCAGUCAUUAAAAAAUAAAGUAAGCACCACCAUAUUUCAUGGAGGUAUCCUUUGCUGUCCUUUUGUCAGGAUGUAUGCUUUAAUUUCUCAAACAAUGCAAUAACACCAUGAAAGUAAUUGAUUUAAACCUCAAGUUUUGUCUUGAAAAAAAACAUUUUCAAAAAUACUGUUGUAAGUAAAAGAUUUUCAUAUAUAUGUUUGUGAACAUUUUUGUGUUUAUUUGCAUUUAAUGAAUACCUAAUUAAUAUGGUUUUGUUUGUUGAAGAUCUGAAAAAAAAAAGGUUGGGGAUUUCUUUCAGGAAUUGAGAGAUGCUUUUGUCAACAGCUGUAAACACUGAGGAAUAAAGAACUGUAUUUAAAAUUA